CACGUAGGCGGUUUGUCAAGUUGGGGGUGUAAGCUCUAGGCUUAACCUAGAAAUUGCCUCCAAAACUAGCAUACUUGAGUAUUAGAGGGGAAGCUGGAAUUCACGGUGUAGCGGUGAAAUGCGUAGAUAUCGUGGAGAACACCCGUGGCGAAGGCGGGCUUCUGGCUAAUUACUGACGCUGAGGUGCGAAAGCUAGGGGAGCGAACG
This 207-nucleotide ribosomal RNA is filed under the name uncultured bacterium. RNAcentral describes it as "partial 16S ribosomal RNA". It matches the Rfam family "Bacterial small subunit ribosomal RNA", at positions 568 to 774 of the family's 1533-position model. The record is from RNAcentral.